CCAAUGGAUGGUACUGCUCUGGCUGGGGUUCACUUUCUGGUGAGCCGGUAUGCUCUUCACUGGGUGUGCCGAGGAACCAGGACUUUUACUUUGAAAAAAUUAGAGUGUUUAAAGCAGGCCUAUGCUUGAAUACAUUAGCAUGGAAUAAUAGAAUAGGACUUUGGUUCUAUUUUGUUGGUUUCUAGGACCGAAGUAAUGAUUAAUAGGGAUAGUUGGGGGCAUUAGUAUUUAGUAGCUAGAGGUGAAAUUCUUGGAUUUAUGAAAGACUAACUUCUGCGAAAGCAUUUGCCAAGGAUGUUUUCAUUAAUCAAGAACGAAAGUUAGGGGAUCGAAGACGAUCAGAUACCGUCGUAGUCUUAACCAUAAACUAUGCCGACUAGGGAUCAGACGAUGUUACUUUACUGACUCGUUUGGCACCUUAUGAGAAAUCAAAGUUUUUGGGUUCCGGGGGGAGUAUGGUCGCAAGGCUGAAACUUAAAGGAAUUGACGGAAGGGCACCACCAGGAGUGGAGCCUGCGGCUUAAUUUGACUCAACACGGGGAAACUCACCAGGUCCAGACAUAGUAAGGAUUGACAGAUUGAGAGCUCUUUCUUGAUUCUAUGGGUGGUGGUGCAUGGCCGUUCUUAGUUGGUGGAGUGAUUUGUCUGCUUAAUUGCGUUAACGAACGAGACCUUAACCUGCUAAAUAGUUAUGCCAACUUUUGUUGGUAGUCAACUUCUUAGAGGGACUGUCGGCGAUUAGCCGAUGGAAGUUUUAGGCAAUAACAGGUCUGUUAUGCCCUUAGAUGUCCUGGGCCGCACGCGCGCUACACUGAUGA
Molecule: ribosomal RNA, 818 nt
Filed under: uncultured Densosporaceae
Lineage: Eukaryota; Fungi; Mucoromycota; Endogonomycetes; Endogonales; Densosporaceae
Description: SSU rRNA
Rfam family: Eukaryotic small subunit ribosomal RNA
Source: RNAcentral